Molecule: RNA transcript, 3028 nt
Organism: Macrosteles quadrilineatus (aster leafhopper)
Lineage: Eukaryota; Metazoa; Arthropoda; Insecta; Hemiptera; Cicadellidae
Gene name: N-acylneuraminate-9-phosphatase
Exons: 3
Source: RefSeq, a predicted model, not a curated record
CUAGAAGAGGCGGUUCUAAAUUUAGACUUGGCUAUCACUGCCUCGACGAAAUAGUCAAGUCAGUUGACUUGUGAUGCUUUGUGGAUGAGUGUGGACUUAAUUGUGUAUGUAGUUAACUAAAGGUGAAGUGAUAAGCUUAGUUUUGAACCAGUAUCCUGCUGAGUAUGCCUAGUGUUAUUGUUUCCUACUGAAUCCUGAACCCAGUUUCUUAGCCAGACAAUAAUAAAUGCCAUAGGCCUACCUAUGUUAGACCUACUUUACUAGCAAAAAUACUUGUUCUUACUUAGGCCUAAUUAUAUCAUGGCAGGAAUUCCAGAACCUGUAACAAAAUGUUUGGCAAUACUAUCUGCCGUUACAAAUGAUACAGAAAAAUUUGCCGCUUUGUUUAUGGUUACCAAACUAACUAAAGGCGACCAAUUGAAUUCAGAGUGCAAAAAGCUACUGUUUGAGGCAAUUGGAUUCAAGUUUUUGAAAAGAUUAUUGUUGAGCAAUGAAGUAGCAGCCGAUUGCCCACCAGUAGUUUAUAAAUCUGUCGCAAUAUCAGUUGUUUCAAGUUUUUGCUCUGAUGAAGCAGUUGCAACACACCCAGAAAUGUUGGCAAAUAUUCCAGUUUUUCUUGAAAUUGUACAGCAAGCUGACGAGGAUGACUAUGAAGACAAUUUAAUCGUCAUAAAUGAAACUUACCAGUGUUUGCAAAGCAUUGCCUCCUACCCAGCUGGACAAAAAGCUUUACUUGAUAUAGGAGCCAUUUCAAAACUUUCAGAAAUCUAUUCGCAACAGAGUUUUCAGACGGAUGAGGCGCUGAAUAUAUUGGUAAUGUUAGCUGAGAGGUUUGGACCUCUAGCUUGGGAUUCUAACAAUCCUAAACCAUUUCAUGGACUUGUUCAAAAAAUUGCUUUGGAUUUUGAAACGGAUAACAGUGAAAGAAAAUUCGAACUAUGCACCAUUCUUUUGGGACUUCUUCGUAGCUGUCCUCAGAGCAGUGUUGCAUCUACUGCCGGUGAUGAAAUAUGGCCAGGAUCUAUUCAUAAAGGCUUGAGUGAUAUUUUAAAAAGUAAAAUUGGCAAAUCUCAGCGAGACCCAGCUUUAAAGUUGGCUUCAGCAAUGCUAGAAGUUUUAGGUGCAGAAUGGUGUCUAACUGAUGACGACAAGCCAAAAAUAUUCUUUUUGCUCUUGAUUCAAUUAUGUUCUGUUGAAGUUCGUAUGCAGCUAGAGGAUAAGAAUUUAAAACAAGCAAUGGCUAAUGCCGAUUUAAUCACAGCUUGCUUCUCAAUGCUGGAGGUAUUCAUAGCAUUCAUAGCAAAUGAUACUCUGGAUCUGGAACAGAAAGAGAAACAACAAAUUUAUACAGCAUUGAAAGGAGCAUUUGCAGCAGUAAUAAAUCUCUUAAACAAAGUUUCGAAAGAUUAUCCAAAAGUAAAGGAUACUAUGCUGGUUCAAGAAAAGGUUUUCAUUUGUGCUAUGGUACGAGUUUUAUCAGCCUGGUUGGCCCAAGAAACAUCUGCAAUGAGAAAUGCAAUCUAUGAUUUGUUGCCUUUUAUGUUGACCUUAGCCAAUGAGACUUUUUAUGCCUCUAGAGCUCGGUACUUUGCAGAAAAAGCUAUGAAUGCUAAGGGAGAGUCUACCAUGGAUGUUGAAAUUGAUCCUUUAAGCCAAGUUGAUAUCUUAAGGGUUAUGUUGCCAGCCCUUUGCCAUCUAACAGUUGAAGAGAAAAGCCGUCAAAUUUUGUUGAGAGUCAAACAAGAUGAAGUUUUGCUAGAAUGUUUAACAUUCCACUGGUCAAUUGCACAUUAUAAAAAACCUCCUGUGCCCAAAUCGGAGCGAAAAAAAGUUCGUACAGAACCUGACCCACCCCUCCCACCAAAAUUAUUGGAAGACAUGAAGGAUUCAAGAGCGGCUAUGAUAAGUACAUGUAAUAUAUUUAUGAACAUAACCGUUUUAGAACCUAAAAUGGUUGAAGAGAGUCCUUUGUUUGAACUGCUGAUGAAAUUCACCUUCAACAAUUUACCAGAGUUAAAGAACACCCAAGAAAAUCUAGUGCUAUAUGGAAACAUGGCUGUUUUAGGUCUAUUGCUACUAAAACAACAAUCAAAACGGGUGAAGAAAAACGACUUCUCUAUUUGUCGAUACAUUCAAGCUACUAUACGCUUUUUAUGGGAUGCGUAUGUUAUAGAUGAAUGCAAUGAUCCACAUGCUCUUGUAGUUUCAAUAGAAUAUAAGAAAAGUUGGAUUGAACUGAUGGAGUUGUGGUUCCUAGGAAUGCAAACUCUUAGUGCCGUUCUUGCCCUUAUACCAUGGAUUUCUGAGUUUGCUAUUGAAAGCGGCUGGGCAGAGGGAAUAAUCGACAAUCUUCUUAAAGUGCGAUCAGGAUCUUUACCAGCAAACACCAAAUCUGCAUUUGAGGACUUCUUAUGCAAUCUUGUCGAAGCAAAUAACAGUGUCACCCAAGUGCUCAAGAAACGGGAUGCAUUGACUGUUUGUCGCAACCAUAGAUUGAUGGAACUUGGAAAGAAAUUGUUUGGGGAUUAAAAUUCCCAGUGCUCAAGGUCCAGUUAUUACUAGAUAUUUCCAAACCAUCAUUAAUAAAAGAAGUCAACUUUCAAUUUUUGAAUGAAGUCUAAACAAAAACAUUACUAUCCUACCACUUGAAAAUUAUUUUACAAACUAAAAAACCGCUAUAAAACAACUAAUCAAUUGUGUAGAAAAAUUGCUUACUAAAAACACAAGUAGAAUAAUAUUACCAAGAAGUGGUUUUAAGAUCAGUGUUCUGUGUUGAGUAACAUUUGUUUAUAACUCCUCGUGUUAAUAAUUAAAAUGAAAAAAAAAAAAAAACUAAAAACUAUUAGUGCAAUCUAAAAUAUACAGACUGUCGUGUAUUCUCCCUCUUCAUUGUACAAAAGCUACCUUACUCCCUGGUUGGCCCAGACAUGCAUUCGCAUCAUCGCCUCCUACCAGCUUUGCUCGUUGUUGGUAUCGAAAUAUCAUCUACCACAAAAUGAAGCUGAAUUGGCAACAGCCAAGUUUCUCC